AAAAUACAGAGAGGUGAAGUAGUGUGUCUUUCCAGAUCCCCAAAUCAUUCCCCCUUAAAAGAUGAGCCUGAAGAGGAGAUUUGGGAAGAUGCUGUUUCAUAAGUCGCUUUGCCUGAUCACAUGUGGUCGGGAUGUCUGCUAACAAGAUGCCUUGCUGGUCUGGGUGAGUAUAAAGGCUUACACAGACAGUCCAGAAGUUCUGAAGUCCAUCUUCGAUCUCAUUGGAUGAUUUAAGGUGUAGAAACAUCUCAGCAACCUCAAGAGAAAUUGGAGGCAACUGUGCUAAAUUGCAGAUGAUGUUGCAAAGGGUCUGAAUAUGUAUAAUAUGCUGUCAUCGUAUUAAGUACAGCAUGAGCCAGAAUGGAUGGGUGGUGGUGGCCAUAAGAAGACUGUCAACUAAACCAACAACAAAAUUCAUAUUUGCAGUUUUUCUUGAAUAAAGUUUUUCUAUU
Molecule: non-coding RNA, 452 nt
Organism: Paramisgurnus dabryanus
Lineage: Eukaryota; Metazoa; Chordata; Actinopteri; Cypriniformes; Cobitidae
Source: RefSeq, a predicted model, not a curated record